GGAAGGGAGAAAGGUAUUUAUGGGGGGGUCAUAAACCUUACCCACAGGCCAACGUCAUGACAGCGGUCCCUUUCUGUGAGCUUGUGUGGCCUACCAGUUUGCGGCUAAGCCGAUGUUGCCCCUAGACAUUACCACUUCACAAUAAAAGCGCUUACAGUUGACUGGGAGAGCUCUAGCAGGGCAGAAAUUUGACGAAGUGACUUGUUGGAAAGUUGGCAUCCAAUGACGGUGCAAAAUUGAAAGUCACUAAGCUGUUCAGUAAGGCCAUUCUACUGCCAAUGUUUGUCUAUGGAGAUUGCAUGGCUUUGUGCUUGAUUUUAUACAUCUGUCAGCAAUGGGUGUGUCUGAAAUAGGCGAAUCCACUAAUUUGAAGGCGUGUCCACAUACUUUUAUAUAGUUGAUACGCUCCCCAUACUGUACUGUCUGUCUGUAAUCAUCCUGCUUGUCUAGCAUGCUUAAGUAACCUAUGCUGCAGAGCUGUCUGACCAAAUCAUUUUACUACUGUAGUUCUUCAAAGUAGAUAGGCUCACAAAACAACCAAACUAAAAAAAAAAUAAAGUAAUUCAACCUAAGUCGGUCAAUUAGUUUAAUAACCGGGGGGGGAGAAAAACCCUGAAAUGUUGGUUAAUCACGAGAAAACUGAACUAAAUCUAACAUAUCACGUGCUACAUUUGAGUGAAAUAUUUCUCUAAAAUGAGGUGGAAUCAGGCUUGAGCCAACACAGGAUCAUCUUGAUUAAAUGUUGGGAACUGUAGUUUUUACCCUCUUUAUAUUUAUUUUAUCAAUAGGCAAUUUGCCUUUGGUUUAACCUUUGCGUUUCAGGUCAUCAUAUUUCAUGGAGUUACUUGUUUAGUUCCAGUAUGCUGAACUAGGCCAAAAUGCAGAUAUUUACAGUUCAAUUGUUCACACGUGUUUGCUGAAGCUUUGGGCCAUUUUCCCAAAACGCUAAACAAACCUCUACAAAUGUAUAGCAAAAGCAAACACUGCAGUCAAAACGGUUUUAGCUCUUUCCAAAAUGUUUUUUUUUGCAUCAAAAUGAUAUGGAAAGAUUUGUCUACCAACACCACACUAAUGUGCUCAACACUACUAUGAAUAUCCCAGCAGUAGGUUUCUGCCUUUUCCAUUGUCAGUGUGACACUAGCCAGUUGUAAAAGAUUGUUACAGUACACCUACGCAAAUAUACAUAAAUAAACACAAACGCAAUACA
Non-coding RNA from Salmo salar (Atlantic salmon), 1207 nucleotides. The record is from RefSeq and is a predicted model, not a curated record. Lineage: Eukaryota; Metazoa; Chordata; Actinopteri; Salmoniformes; Salmonidae.